CCUACGGGAGGCAGCAGUGAGGAAUAUUGGUCAAUGGGCGCAAGCCUGAACCAGCCAAGUCGCGUGAGGGAUGACGGUCCUAUGGAUUGUAAACCUCUUUAGGCGGGGAGCAAUGCCGGGCACGCGUGCCCGGAGGGAGAGUACCCGCAGAAUAAGCAUCGGUUAACACCGUGCCAGCAGCCGCGGUAAUACGGAGGAUGCGAGCGUUAUCCGGAUUUAUUGGGGUUAAAGGGUGCGUAGGCGGAUUUUUAAGUCGGUGGUAAAAUGUUCGGGCUCAACCCAGGCCGGCAGUUGAUACUGGGGAUCUUGAGUGGGCGAGAGGUAGGCGGAAUGCGUGGUGUAGCGGUGAAAUGCAUAGAUAUCACGAAGAACUCCGAUUGCGAAGGCAGCAUACCGGCGCCCGACUGACGCUGAGGCACGAAAGCGUGGGGAUCGAACAGGAUUAGAUACCCGAGUAGUC
Molecule: ribosomal RNA, 460 nt
Filed under: uncultured bacterium
Lineage: Bacteria
Description: partial 16S ribosomal RNA
Rfam family: Bacterial small subunit ribosomal RNA
Source: RNAcentral